Molecule: ribosomal RNA, 493 nt
Filed under: uncultured bacterium
Lineage: Bacteria
Description: bacterial SSU rRNA
Rfam family: Bacterial small subunit ribosomal RNA
Source: RNAcentral
UGCGUAACGCGUAUGCAACCUGCCUUAUGCAGAGGGAUAGCCCAUGGAAACGUGGAUUAAUACCCCAUAACAUCACCGGAUCGCAUGGUUUGGUGAUAAAAACUCUGGUGGCAUAAGAUGGGCAUGCGUCUGAUUAGCUUGUUGGUGAGGUAACGGCUCACCAAGGCGACGAUCAGUAGGGGUUCUGAGAGGAUUAUCCCCCACACUGGUACUGAGACACGGACCAGACUCCUACGGGAGGCAGCAGUGAGGAAUAUUGGUCAAUGGGCGAGAGCCUGAACCAGCCAUCCCGCGUGCAGGAUGACAGCCCUAUGGGUUGUAAACUGCUUUUCCACGCCAAGAAACGGCUCUACGUGUAGGGCACUGACGGUAGCGUGGGAAUAAGCAUCGGCUAACUCCGUGCCAGCAGCCGCGGUAAUACGGAGGAUGCAAGCGUUAUCCGGAUUCAUUGGGUCUAAAGGGUGCGCAGGCGGGCUUUUAAGUCAGUGGUGAA